This 341-nucleotide unclassified non-coding RNA is filed under the name soil metagenome. Its description in RNAcentral is "partial contains 5.8S ribosomal RNA, internal transcribed spacer 2, and large subunit ribosomal RNA". The stretch from base 1 to 120 matches the Rfam family "5.8S ribosomal RNA", at positions 35 to 154 of the family's 154-position model. The record is from RNAcentral.
GAUGAAGAACGCAGCGAAAUGCGAUAAGUAAUGUGAAUUGCAGAAUUCAGUGAAUCAUCGAAUCUUUGAACGCACAUUGCGCCCGCCAGUAUUCUGGCGGGCAUGCCUGUCUGAGCGUCAUUUCAACCCUCAUGCCCCUAGGGCGUGGUGUUGGGGAUCGGCCAAAGCCCGCGAGGGACGGCCGGCCCCUAAAUCUAGUGGCGGACCCGUCGUGGCCUCCUCUGCGAAGUAGUGAUAUUCCGCAUCGGAGAGCGAUGAGCCCCUGCCGUUAAACCCCCAACUUUCCAAGGUUGACCUCAGAUCAGGUAGGAAUACCCGCUGAACUUAAGCAUAUCAAUAGA